RNAcentral lists this ribosomal RNA (549 nucleotides) under Glomus sp. VeGlo10. Its description in RNAcentral is "SSU rRNA". It matches the Rfam family "Eukaryotic small subunit ribosomal RNA", at positions 548 to 1098 of the family's 1831-position model. The record is from RNAcentral. Lineage: Eukaryota; Fungi; Glomeromycota; Glomeromycetes; Glomerales; Glomeraceae.
UUGGAGGGCAAGUCUGGUGCCAGCAGCCGCGGUAAUUCCAGCUCCAAUAGCGUAUAUUAAAGUUGUUGCAGUUAAAAAGCUCGUAGUUGAAUUUCGGGGUCAGUAGGUUGGUCAUGCCACUGGUAUGUACUGGUCUCACUGAUUCCUCCUUCCUGAUGAGCCGUAAUGCCAUUAAUUUGGUGUUGCGAGGAAUCUGGACUGUUACUUUGAAAAAAUUAGAGUGUUUAAAGCAGGCUAACGCUUGAAUACAUUAGCAUGGAAUAAUGAAAUAGGACGUUCGAUCUUAUUUUGUUGGUUUCUAGGAUUGACGUAAUGAUUAAUAGGGAUAGUUGGGGGCAUUAGUAUUCAAUUGUCAGAGGUGAAAUUCUUGGAUUUAUUGAAGACUAACUACUGCGAAAGCAUUUGCCAAGGAUGUUUUCAUUAAUCAAGAACGAAAGUUAGGGGAUCGAAGACGAUCAGAUACCGUCGUAGUCUUAACCAUAAACUAUGCCGACUAGGGAUCGGAUGAUGUUAAUUUUUUAAUGACUCAUUCGGCGCCUUACGGGAAAC